GAUGAACGCUAGCUACAGGCUUAACACAUGCAAGUCGAGGGGUAACAAGAGAAAAGCUUGCUUUUCUUGUUGACGACCGGCGCACGGGUGAGUAACGCGUAUCCAACCUGCCUAUAACUAGGGAAUAACCUUGCGAAAGUAAGACUAAUACCCUAUGAUUUCCUUUGAUGACAUCAGAUUUGGAAUAAAGAUUUAUCGGUUAUAGAUGGGGAUGCGUCUGAUUAGCUUGUAGGCGGGGUAACGGCCCACCAAGGCAACGAUCAGUAGGGGUUCUGAGAGGAAGGUCCCCCACAUUGGAACUGAGACACGGUCCAAACUCCUACUGGAGGCAGCAGUGAGGAAUAUUGGUCAAUGGGCGGAAGCCUGAACCAGCCAAGUAGCGUGCAGGAUGACGGCCCUAUGGGUUGUAAACUGCUUUUAUACAGGAAUAAAGUUAGCCACGUGUGGUUAUUUGUAGGUACUGUAUGAAUAAGGACCGGCUAAUUCCGUGCCAGCCGCCGCCGUAA
Molecule: ribosomal RNA, 506 nt
Filed under: uncultured bacterium
Lineage: Bacteria
Description: partial 16S ribosomal RNA
Rfam family: Bacterial small subunit ribosomal RNA
Source: RNAcentral